UACGAACCACACAAACGUUAUUCGGAAUCACUGGGCUUAAAGGGUGCGUAGGCUGCGCGGCAAGUUGGGUGUGAAAUCCCUCGGCUCAACCGAGGAACUGCGCCCAAAGCUGCCGUGCUCGAGGGAGACAGAGGUGAGCGGAACUUAGGGUGGAGCGGUGAAAUGCGUUGAUAUCCUAAGGAACGCCCGUGGCGAAAGCGGCUCACUGGGUCUCUUCUGACGCUGAGGCACGAAAGCUAGGGUAGCGAACGGG
Molecule: ribosomal RNA, 253 nt
Filed under: uncultured bacterium
Lineage: Bacteria
Description: partial 16S ribosomal RNA
Rfam family: Bacterial small subunit ribosomal RNA
Source: RNAcentral